AAACCAAAUCAUGAACCUUAUGGUACGAACAAGGAUACUCGUACUUCUUUUACGGAUAAGGCUAACAAAAAUGCAGUUAACAAAUGUGAACUCCUGAGGCCUUCCUAUUGUCAUUAAGUACACGUGCGGGGAUCUAAUAAUAGGUCUCUGAUCAGUCAUCGUAUGCAUGUGUUCCUUGCCUUAAUAGUUGCACAAACUCAAUAUGAAAAUACAUGUGC
RNAcentral lists this long non-coding RNA (218 nucleotides) under Phoenix dactylifera (date palm). Its description in RNAcentral is "long non-coding RNA (PDAC_LNC017041)". The record is from RNAcentral. Lineage: Eukaryota; Viridiplantae; Streptophyta; Magnoliopsida; Arecales; Arecaceae.